RNAcentral lists this ribosomal RNA (492 nucleotides) under uncultured bacterium. RNAcentral's name for it is "partial 16S ribosomal RNA". It matches the Rfam family "Bacterial small subunit ribosomal RNA", at positions 29 to 507 of the family's 1533-position model. The record is from RNAcentral.
AGUGAACGCUGGCGGUAGGCCUAACACAUGCAAGUCGAACGGUAGCACAGUAAGAGCUUGCUCUUACGGGUGGCGAGUGGCGGGGGGGUGAGGAAUACAUCGGAAUCUACUUUUUCGGGGGGGAUAACGUGGGAAAACUUACGCUAAUACCGCAUACGACCUACGGGUGAAAGCAGGGGAUCUUCGGACCUUGCGCGAUUGAAUGAGCCGAUGUCGGAUUAGCUAGUUGGCGGGGUAAAGGCCCACCAAGGCGACGAUCCGUAGCUGGUCUGAGAGGAUGACCAGCCACACUGGAACUGAGACACGGUCCAGACUCCUACGGGAGGCAGCAGUGGGGAAUAUUGGACAAUGGGCGCAAGCCUGAUGCAGCCAUACCGCGUGGGUGAAGAAGGCCUUCGGGUUGUAAAGUCCGUUUGUUGGGAAGGAAGGGCGGAAGGUUAAUACCCUCCUGCUCUGACGGUACCCAAAGAAUAAGCACCGGCUAACUUCGUG